CAGUCGCCACGGUAAUACGUAGGUGGCGAGCGUUGUCCGGAAUUAUUGGGCGUAAAGGGCUCGCAGGCGGUUUCUUAAGUCUGAUGUGAAAGCCCGCGGCUCAACCGGGGAGGGUCAUUGGAAACUGAAAACUUGAGUGCAGGAGAGGAGAGUGGAAUUCCACGUGUAGCGGUGAAAUGCGUAGAGAUGUGGAGGAACACCAGUGGCGAAGGCGACUCUCUGGUCUGUAACUGACGCUGAGGAGCAAAAGCGUGGGGAGCGAACAGGAUUAGAUACCCCGGUAGUCCCUGUCUCUUAUACA
Molecule: ribosomal RNA, 301 nt
Filed under: uncultured bacterium
Lineage: Bacteria
Description: partial 16S ribosomal RNA
Rfam family: Bacterial small subunit ribosomal RNA
Source: RNAcentral